This 253-nucleotide ribosomal RNA is filed under the name uncultured bacterium. RNAcentral describes it as "partial 16S ribosomal RNA". It matches the Rfam family "Bacterial small subunit ribosomal RNA", at positions 524 to 776 of the family's 1533-position model. The record is from RNAcentral.
UACGGAGGGUGCGAGCGUUGUCCGGAAUCACUGGGCGUAAAGGGCGCGUAGGCGGCCUGAUAAGUAGGGGGUGAAAUCCUGCGGCUUAACCGCAGGGCUGCCUUCUAAACUGUCAGGCUUGAGCACAGUAGAGGCAGGUGGAAUUCCCGGUGUAGCGGUGGAAUGCGUAGAGAUCGGGAAGAACAUCAGUGGCGAAGGCGGCCUGCUGGGCUGUUGCUGACACUGAGGCGCGACAGCGUGGGGAGCAAACAGG